Molecule: ribosomal RNA, 253 nt
Filed under: uncultured bacterium
Lineage: Bacteria
Description: partial 16S ribosomal RNA
Rfam family: Bacterial small subunit ribosomal RNA
Source: RNAcentral
GACGAAGCGUGCGAACGUUGUUCGGAAUCACUGGGCGUAAAGGGUGCGUAGGCGGGUUGUCCUGUCUGGGGUGAAAACCCACGGCUCAACCGUGGAAUUGCCUCAGAUACUGACGACCUCGAGGGAGGUAGGGGCGAGCGGAACUGUGGGUGGAGCGGUGAAAUGCGUUGAUAUCCACAGGAACUCCGGGGGCGAAGGCGGCUCGCUGGACCUCUUCUGACGCUGAGGCACGAAAGCUAGGGGAGCAAACGGG